This 556-nucleotide ribosomal RNA is filed under the name uncultured archaeon. RNAcentral describes it as "bacterial SSU rRNA". It matches the Rfam family "Archaeal small subunit ribosomal RNA", at positions 325 to 879 of the family's 1478-position model. The record is from RNAcentral.
ACGGGGUGCAGCAGGCGCGAAAACUUUGCAAUAAGCGAAAGCUUGACAGGGCUAUCCCGAGUGCCAUCCGCUAAGGAAGGCUUUUACCUAGUCUAGAACGCUGGGGGAAUAAGGAGAGGGCAAGUCUGGUGUCAGCCGCCGCGGUAAUACCAGCUCUCCGAGUGGUGUGGAUGUUUAUUGGGCCUAAAGCAUCCGUAGCUGGCUAAGUUAGUCCCCUGUUAAAUCCACCGAAUUAAUCGUUGGAUUGCGGGGGAUACUGCUUGGCUAGGGGACGAGAGAGGCAGACGGUAUUUUCGGGGUAGGGGUGAAGUCCUAUAAUCCCGGGAAGACCACCAGUGGCGAAGGCUGUCUGCUAGAACGCGCCCCGACGGUGAGGGAUGAAAGCUGGGGGAGCGAACCGGAUUAGAUACCCGGGUAGUCCCAGCUGUAAACGAUGCAGGCUAGGUGUUUGGACGGCCACGUGCCGUUCUAGUUGCCGCAGGGAAGCUGUUAAGCCUGCCGCCUGGGGAGUACGAUCGCAAGAUUGAAACUUUAAAGGAAAUUGGCGGGGGAGCAC